RNAcentral lists this ribosomal RNA (935 nucleotides) under Candidatus Phytoplasma asteris-related phytoplasma. RNAcentral's name for it is "bacterial SSU rRNA". It matches the Rfam family "Bacterial small subunit ribosomal RNA", at positions 217 to 1161 of the family's 1533-position model. The record is from RNAcentral. Lineage: Bacteria; Bacillati; Mycoplasmatota; Mollicutes; Acholeplasmatales; Acholeplasmataceae.
GCUUAGGGAGGAGCUUGCGUCACAUUAGUUAGUUGGUGGGGUAAAGGCCUACCAAGACUAUGAUGUGUAGCCGGGCUGAGAGGUUGAACGGCCACAUUGGGACUGAGACACGGCCCAAACUCCUACGGGAGGCAGCAGUAGGGAAUUUUCGGCAAUGGAGGAAACUCUGACCGAGCAACGCCGCGUGAACGAUGAAGUAUUUCGGUACGUAAAGUUCUUUUAUUAGGGAAGAAUAAAUGAUGGAAAAAUCAUUCUGACGGUACCUAAUGAAUAAGCCCCGGCUAACUAUGUGCCAGCAGCCGCGGUAAUACAUAGGGGGCAAGCGUUAUCCGGAAUUAUUGGGCGUAAAGGGUGCGUAGGCUGUUAAAUAAGUUUAUGGUCUAAGUGCAAUGCUCAACAUUGUGAUGCUAUAAAAACUGUUUAGCUAGAGUAAGAUAGAGGCAAGUGGAAUUCCAUGUGUAGUGGUAAAAUGCGUAAAUAUAUGGAGGAACACCAGUAGCGAAGGCGGCUUGCUGGGUCUUUACUGACGCUGAGGCACGAAAGCGUGGGGAGCAAACAGGAUUAGAUACCCUGGUAGUCCACGCCGUAAACGAUGAGUACUAAACGUUGGGUAAAACCAGUGUUGAAGUUAACACAUUAAGUACUCCGCCUGAGUAGUACGUACGCAAGUAUGAAACUUAAAGGAAUUGACGGGACUCCGCACAAGCGGUGGAUCAUGUUGUUUAAUUCGAAGGUACCCGAAAAACCUCACCAGGUCUUGACAUGCUUCUGCAAAGCUGUAGAAACACAGUGGAGGUUAUCAGUUGCACAGGUGGUGCAUGGUUGUCGUCAGCUCGUGUCGUGAGAUGUUGGGUUAAGUCCCGCAACGAGCGCAACCCUUNUUGNUAGUUGCCAGCACGUAAUGGUGGGGACUUUAGCAAGACUGCCAGUGAUAA